Molecule: non-coding RNA, 544 nt
Organism: Triticum urartu
Lineage: Eukaryota; Viridiplantae; Streptophyta; Magnoliopsida; Poales; Poaceae
Source: RefSeq, a predicted model, not a curated record
CCUGUUCACAACCAACAAAGAUCCAAGAUCAAUAAGUGAAGAUGGUGACCUGAGAAAUCAUCAGUAGACUGAAGGGGACAGGCUAGAGCUACAAUCUAGCCUACUGGAGUGGACUUGGAGCAUAGGAGCAGCAAGAGUAGGACCAACAGAGAGGGCAAAAGAAGAAAGGAAGCAAGUACAGUCAGGAGAAGGAGACGCUACAGAAGCAAACUGAGUCCGGGUCUGAAGCAAAGCUUGUAUGAGAAUCCUACUGGACCAAGUGAGGAGAGCAAUGGUGAUGACUACAACUACACAGGGGACCUAGAUGUGGAUCCAUCUAGUGCUAUGUACGAUCUGGAUGCCGCAUAUGGGGGUUGGGAUGAAUAAGUAAUUAUGAUCUAGCUAUGUAAUCCAGAAAACUAUUUUAUCAUCAUCUAUCUAGUACUGCUAGUUGGAACUCCGGUGUUAGGAGAUGUAAUAAUUUGGCAAAACAUGUGAGAAGCCUACCUGAGACUUUUAGCCCUGUGUGGCAAGGUAUUGUAAUAUAAAUGACUAUCUCUAGCUA